This 105-nucleotide non-coding RNA is filed under the name Desulfocicer vacuolatum. Its description in RNAcentral is "Desulfobacterium vacuolatum TPP sequence". It matches the Rfam family "TPP riboswitch aptamer (THI element)". From Rfam's summary of the family: Vitamin B(1) in its active form thiamin pyrophosphate (TPP) is an essential coenzyme that is synthesised by coupling of pyrimidine and thiazole moieties in bacteria. The previously detected thiamin-regulatory element, thi box was extended, resulting in a new, highly conserved RNA secondary structure, the THI element, which is widely distributed in eubacteria and also occurs in some archaea. The record is from RNAcentral. Lineage: Bacteria; Pseudomonadati; Thermodesulfobacteriota; Desulfobacteria; Desulfobacterales; Desulfobacteraceae. RNAcentral also lists the same sequence under 1 other name.
AAGUUUUGCUGGGGGAGCUUUGAAAGGCUGAGAAGGAAAAUAAUUUCCUGACCCUUGGAACCUGAUGCGGUUAGUACCGACGUAGGGAAGCGAAUCAUGCCUGAU